AUUGAACGCUGGCGGCAUGCUUUACACAUGCAAGUCGAACGGUAACAGGCCGCAAGGUGCUGACGAGUGGCGAACGGGCGAGUACUGCAUCGGAACGUGCCCAGUCGUGGGGGAUAUCUACUCGACUGAGUAGCUAAUACCGCAUACGAACUUUGGCUGCACGCGGGGGACCGUAAGGUCUCGCGCGAUUGCAGCGGCCGAUGUCAGAUUAGGUAGUUGGUGGGCGUAAGGCUCACCAAGCCAACCAUCUGUAGCUGGUCUGCGAGGACGAACCGCCACACUGUGACUGAGACACGGCCCAGACUCCUACGGGAGGCAGCGUUGAGGAAUGUUGGACAAUGGGCGCAAGCCUGAUCCAGCAAUGCCGCUUGCAGGAAGAAGGCCUUCGGGUUGUAAGCGGCUUGUGGACGGGACGAAACGGCUCUGGUUAAUACCCGGGGCUAAUGACGUUACCGUAAGAAUAAGCACCGGCUAACUACGUG
Molecule: ribosomal RNA, 482 nt
Filed under: uncultured bacterium
Lineage: Bacteria
Description: partial 16S ribosomal RNA
Rfam family: Bacterial small subunit ribosomal RNA
Source: RNAcentral